UACGUAGGGGGCAAGCGUUGUCCGGAUUCAUUGGGCGUAAAGAGCGUAUAGGCGGCCAGGCAGGUCCGCUGUGAAAACUCGAGGCUCAACCUCGAGAUGUCGGUGGAAACCGUCUGGCUAGAGUCCGGAAGAGGAGAGUGGAAUUCCCGGUGUAGCGGUGAAAUGCGCAGAUAUCGGGAAGAACACCAGUGGCGAAGGCGGCUCUCUGGGACGGUACUGACGCUGAGACGCGAAAGCGUGGGGAGCGAACAGG
Molecule: ribosomal RNA, 253 nt
Filed under: uncultured bacterium
Lineage: Bacteria
Description: partial 16S ribosomal RNA
Rfam family: Bacterial small subunit ribosomal RNA
Source: RNAcentral